Manis pentadactyla (Chinese pangolin) is the source of this 499-nucleotide long non-coding RNA. RefSeq lists it as uncharacterized. The transcript has 2 exons. The record is from RefSeq and is a predicted model, not a curated record. NCBI's taxonomy places the organism in Eukaryota, Metazoa, Chordata, Mammalia, Pholidota, Manidae.
GUUUUGUCAGCAGCUAUGUGGAGGUUUGGGGUAGGUAAUGUAUCUCAUGAUCUUUCCUUUCUCAUCUUACCCUCACAGUUCUCUACAGUCUUCAAGGACUAGCAGAAAAUGAUCACAUCCCAGAAUUUAAAAUUUCUCAGUGACUGCAAGACCAGAGGUACUGGAGGAAGGGACGUGUCUCACUGGAUGAACCUACUCAACCCAAAUAAGGAAGAGAAUGGCGAAUGUCACUCAAAUGAUUCAACGAAAGGUCCGUGGCCACAGGUCCCGCCUAGAACACGCAUCGCAGUACUCUCUCCUCAGCAACCCAGCAUGACCAAUAAUCAGUGAUCAUGACACCCACACUGGCCAAUUAGUUCUGACCAUGAUACCCUCAGAGCUCUCCCAGCACCCUUGAUAAGCCUGUCGCCCCUCAUGCUGGAGGUGACUUCCCUGGCCCAUGGAUACACGGACUGGUGAACCUUGCCUGGAACUGCGCUAAUAAACUUUUUUUUGGCUC